GGGGAAAAUUUAAUAAAGGGGCAUUUAAUAAAAGGAAUUUUAAUUUUAUUAUUAUUAAUUUAUUUAUGGGGGUUAAAGUAAAUUAAUAAGAAAAAAUAAAAAAUUUUAUAGUUAAUUAUGUAUUGUGAAAGAAUUUUGAAAUAUUUAAUUAAAAAUUAAUUUAAUAAAAAGUAAUUUUAAUUUAAUGUAUCUUGUGUAUCAGAGUUUAUUAAAAAAAAUUAUUAGUUAGUAAAUUCUCGAAUUUAAAAGAGUUAAUUAAUUAUAAAAGUUAUUGUAGCAUAAAUAUUUUUAAUAUUUAAUUAGUAAUGAAAUGUUAAUCGUUUUUAAAUAUAUCUAGUUUUUUUAGAAAAAAAUUUAAUUUUGAAUUUAUUGAAUUAUUAUGAUUUAUUUGAUUAAUUUUAAUGAUUUAUUUAUUUAUAUAUAUAUAUAUAUAUAUAUAAUUUAUUAUUUAAUUUUUAAAUAAAUUUAAUAUUUUAAGGGAUAAGCUUUAAUUUAUAAAAAUAUAAUUUUAUUAAUUUUUAAAAUUGAAAAAUAUAUAAUUUAUAUUGUUAAAAAUUUUUAAUUUAUUAUAAAUAAUUUCAUUAAAAAAUAAAAUUUAAUUUUAAAUUUAUUAAUUUAUAAAAAAAAUUUUUUUAAUUUAAAAUAAUUAGUUAAAAUGAUAAAAUUAGUAUAUUUGUAUAAAUAAAUGAAUAUAUAUAUAUAUAUAUAUAUACAUAUAAUUAGAAUUAUUUUAAAGGAAUUCGGCAAAUUUUUAUAUUCACUUGUUUAUCAAAAACAUGUCUUUUUGGUUAAUAAUUUAAAGUCUAAUCUGCCCACUGAUAGUAAUUAAAGGGCUGCAGUAAUUUGACUGUACAAAGGUAGCAUAAUCAUUAGUCAUUUAAUUGAUGACUUGUAUGAAAGAUUGGAUGAGAUAUAAGCUGUCUUUAAUAUAAAAAUAGAAUUUAAUUUUUUAAUUAAAAAGUUAAAAUAAAUAAGAAAGACGAGAAGACCCUAUAGAGUUUUAUUAUUUUUUAAAUGGAUAAUAUUUAUAAAUUUUAUUUAUUGUAAGGAUUUAAAAAAUAAUUUUAUUGGGGUGAUGGAAAAAUUUAAUUAACUUUUUUUUUUUUUUUAACAUAAAUAAAUGGUUUAAUGAUCCAAUAUUAUUGAUUAUAAGAAAUAAUUACCUUAGGGAUAACAGCGUAAUUUUUUUUUUUAGUUCACAUAAAAAAAAGAGUUUGCGACCUCGAUGUUGGAUUAAGAUAAAAUUUAAAUGUAGAAGUUUAAAGUUUUGAUCUGUUCGAUCAUUAAAAUCUUACAUGAUCUGAGUUCAAACCGGUGUAAGCCAGGUUGGUUUCUAUCUUUUUAGAGUUAUAAUAUUUUAGUACGAAAGGAUUGAAUAUUUGAAUUAAAUUUAUUUUAUUGAAAAUUAUUAAUUUUAUUAGAAUAAAAUAAAAAUAUGUAAGUAUAUAUAUAUAUAUAUAUAUAUAUAUAUAUAUAU
This 1477-nucleotide ribosomal RNA is filed under the name Calliteara horishanella. RNAcentral's name for it is "16S ribosomal RNA". Lineage: Eukaryota; Metazoa; Arthropoda; Insecta; Lepidoptera; Erebidae. The record is from RNAcentral.